GGAUAGGGGUGAAAGGCCAAUCAAACCCGGAGAUAUCUCGUUCUCCCCGAAAUAGCUUUAGGGCUAGCGUCGCGCGUUCACCGCCGGAGGUAGAGCACCGGAUGGACGAGGGGGCUUCGCCGCCUACCGAAUCCAACCGAACUCCGAAUGCCGGCGGCCCAGAGCGCGGCAGUCAGAGCAUGUGGGCUAAGCUGUGUGCUCGAGAGGGAAACAGCCCGGACCGCCCGCUAAGGUCCCCAAGUUCCAGCCGAGUGGCAAAGGAUGUGCGUCCGCCCAGACAACCAGGAUGUUGGCUUAGAAGCAGCCAUGCAUUCAAAGAGUGCGUAACAGCUCACUGGUCGAGUGGACAUGCGCCGACAAUACACGGGGCUAAGCUGGACACCGAAGCGGCGGGAUUUUGAUUUUCAGAAUCGGUAGGGGAGCUUCCCAUGGGCGGGGAAGCCGCCGGGCGACCGGCGGUGGAGCGCAUGGGAGUGAGAAUGCUGGCAUGAGUAGCGAGAGACGAGAGAGUAACUCGUCCGCCGUGAACCCGAGGUUUCCUGGGCAAGGCUAAUCCUCCCAGGGUCAGUCGGGGGCUAAGGCGAGGCCGGAAGGCGUAGCCGACGCGCAGCAGGCAGACAUUCCUGCACCGCGCACGCGGCGCUACGACCGACGGGGCGACGGAUGGGGGUGGCUCGGCGGGGUUCUGGACGUCCCCGUGAUGGAGCGCGGCCCGCGGACCAGGGAAAUCCGGUCCGCACGAGGGCGAGGCUCCGGACGAAGCGAUCAAGCGAAGCGAGUGAGCCCGAGGUCCCUAGAAAAACCCCUAGGCAGGCGCGUGCGCGCCCGUACCGCAAACCGACACAGGUGGGUGGGUAGAACAUACCGAGGCGAUCGGGUCAACCAUGGUCAAGGAACUCGGCACAAUGGCCCCGUAACUUCGGGAGAAGGGGUGCCCGCGCGUACGUGAACCGGCUUGCCCGGGGAGCGGAGGCGGGCCGCAGUGGAGAGGCCCAAGCGACUGUUUACCAAAAACACAGGACUCUGCAGAAGCCGCAAGGCGACGUAUAGGGUCUGACGCCUGCCCGGUGCCGGAAGGUCACGCGGAGGAGUUAGCGCAUCGCGCGAAGCCCCGAAGCCAAGCCCCGGUAAACGGCGGCCGUAACUAUAACGGUCCUAAGGUAGCGAAAUUCCUUGUCGGGUAAGUUCCGACCUGCACGAAUGGCGUAACGAUUUGGGCGCUGUCUCGACCGUGGACCCGGUGAAAUUGUACUGUUCGUGAAGAUGCGAACUACCCGCGGAAGGACGGAAAGACCCCGUGAACCUUCACUGCAGCUUGGCAUUGGCCGCUGGUCCCGCGUGUAGAGGAUAGGCAGGAGGCAUCGAUCCGGAGGCGCCAGCCCCCGGGGAGCCGCCCUUGGAAUACUGCCCUCGCGCGACCGGCGUCCUAACCCGAGGCCGUCAACCGGCUCGGGGACCGUGCCAGGCGGGCAGUUUGACUGGGGCGGUCGCCUCCUAAAGGGUAACGGAGGCGCGCGAAGGUCCGCUCGGGACGGUCGGCAACCGUCCUUUUGAAUGCAAGAGUACAAGCGGGCUUGACUGCGAGGCCCACAAGCCGAGCAGGUGCGAAAGCAGGCUCUAGUGAUCCGGCGGCCCCGAGUGGGUGGGCCGUCGCUCAACGGAUAAAAGGUACUCCGGGGAUAACAGGCUGAUCUUGCCCAAGAGUCCACAUCGACGGCAAGGUUUGGCACCUCGAUGUCGGCUCAUCGCAUCCUGGGGCUG
Molecule: ribosomal RNA, 1761 nt
Filed under: human gut metagenome
Description: bacterial LSU rRNA
Rfam family: Bacterial large subunit ribosomal RNA
Source: RNAcentral